This 235-nucleotide ribosomal RNA is filed under the name uncultured bacterium. RNAcentral's name for it is "partial 16S ribosomal RNA". It matches the Rfam family "Bacterial small subunit ribosomal RNA", at positions 335 to 585 of the family's 1533-position model. The record is from RNAcentral.
CACCUACGGGGCGCAGCAGUGGGGAAUAUUGCACAAUGGGGGAAACACUGAUGCAGCAACGCCGCGUGAAGGAAGACGGUUUUCGGAUUGUAAACUUCUAUCAAUAGGGAAGAAAGAAAUGACGGUACCUAAAUAAGAAGAACCGGCUAACUACGUGCCAGCAGCCGCGGUAAUACGUAGGGGGCAAGCGUUAUCCGGAUUUACUGGGUGUAAAGGGAGCGUAGGUGGCAGGGCA